CACGUAGAUGGCUUCGUAAGUCGGAUGUGAAAUCCCCGGGCUUAACCUGGGAACUGCAUUCGAAACUGCAUUGCUAGAGUGUGGAAGAGGGAAGCGGAAUUCCAGGUGUAGCGGUGAAAUGCGUAGAUAUCUGGAGGAACAUCAGUGGCGAAGGCGGCUUCCUGGUCCAACACUGACAUUCAGGUGCGAAAGCGUGGGGAGCAAACAGGAUUAGAUACCCUGGUAGUCCACGCCAUAAACGAUGAGAACUAGAUGUCGGGAGGGUUAGCCUUCCGGUGUCGCAGCUAACGCGUUAAGUUCUCCGCCUGGGGAGUACGGCCGCAAGGUUGAA
Molecule: ribosomal RNA, 331 nt
Filed under: uncultured bacterium
Lineage: Bacteria
Description: bacterial SSU rRNA
Rfam family: Bacterial small subunit ribosomal RNA
Source: RNAcentral